This 571-nucleotide long non-coding RNA is filed under the name Cricetulus griseus (Chinese hamster). Its description in RNAcentral is "lncRNA (ENSCGRG00015024955.2)". The record is from RNAcentral. Lineage: Eukaryota; Metazoa; Chordata; Mammalia; Rodentia; Cricetidae.
CUCCCUCAUUGGCCAAACAGUACUUUAUUUAUCAUCUAAUAAGACAAACACACAGAAGCACUUCCCCCAUCAGGUUCCAUUGCCAGAGGCCCAAUAGACUGCUCAAGCCCUGAAACUGACACUCACAUUCCGGGGGCCUGGUUCAGUCUUAUGUUGUUUCCCCAGGAGUUCAGCUCAGUGCUUAGCUGUGGGUGUCUGCUUCUGCUUCCAUCAGCUACUGGAUGAAAGCUCUAGGAUGGCAUUUAAGGAAGUCAUCAAUCUCAUUACAGGGGAAGGGCAUUGAAGGUCGCCCUCAUAUAGUGGAGACCUGCGCUUUCCUGGAUGGAGAUGGAAGAGGAAGGGAUUGGGCAGAGGCUGUGGCCUGGAUGUAAAAUAAAUAGAUGAAUAAAAAAUGAAACAAAGAAAAACGGAAGUGACUAAACAAUGGAUAUUCUCAUUGUCAAUUUUCCAACAACUUUAGUUAGGAAGUCAUUGACAGUGGUCUGUCUGACUUAAGCAGACUUCUGUUUUGCCAUGUUUUUGCUCUUUUGGGAGGCCUGCCACCCAGCUCCCAAAUAAAUCACACUCAGAG